UGAAGGAAAAAGAUUUACUGUUCUUGAAACUAUAUUGAAAGUGAGGAAAGAUGUGGAGGAUUGGUUUGCUGCUCAGGUUGUAGAAAAAGAAAGGAGGGCUGAAGUGGGUCAAAGUGAUCAGCAGGUUUUUUCCCCUAGGAAUGUGUCUCCUGUUGUUAGAUGGCUGCCUCCUCCUACUGAUUGGGUGAAGUGUAAUGUUGGUCUGUCUUGGUCUAGAAGAAAUAGACUUGCAGGGGUUGCUUGGGUUUUGAGGAAUGACAGAGGCAAUGUCUUGAUGCACAGUAGAAGAGCCUUUUCCAAUAUUUCCUCCUUUUUGGAGGCUCAAUUUCUAAGCAUUGUUUGGGCUGUUGAGAGUAUGGUUAGUCAUCAUGUGAAUAGGGUGGUUUUUGGUGUGGAAGCUGCGGUGCUUGUUGGGGUGAUAAACAGGCCGCAAGCUUGGCCUUCCUUUAGGUUUCAGUCUUCGGAGAUCUUGUUAGCUUUAAAUGGUAUUGCAGUUUGGAAAGUGGUGCUUGAAUCGGUGUCUUCGAAUAGAGGUGCUAAUCUCAUUGCCCAAAGUGUUACUAAGGAGUGUAGGCUUCAAUCGUACGUGGCCGUAAGUUUUCCUGCUUGGCUUCUUGGUGUCUUUAGGGAUGAGAGAGUUCUAACCUCUGUGGACUGAAGACUUUCUGCUUUUUGGCUCCUUGCUUUUUGGGAGGUUUAUUCUUUUGUUGCCCUGUUAAUUUUUGGAUUCUCAGGGUUGACCUUUUAGUGGGUGUUUCUUGUGCCCCUUGGUCUCAUUUUUUGGUAUGACUUUCUGCAAGUCAGUUGUAAUUGUGCUAAUAUCUAAUAUAACAAGUAAUCUACCUUUGCGACAAAAAAAAAGAAUUAUGAAUAACCUAGCUUUUGCUUUUUCUUUUUCUGAAAUCUCUGUUGCUUUCUCUUUAUAAAAUGAAUCUAGGUAGGCCGUUCAGUGUAUUCAUUGAU
RNAcentral lists this small RNA (963 nucleotides) under Arabidopsis thaliana (thale cress). RNAcentral describes it as "ATSL015910". The record is from RNAcentral. Lineage: Eukaryota; Viridiplantae; Streptophyta; Magnoliopsida; Brassicales; Brassicaceae.